UCCCCGAUAGUCUAGUGGUGAGGAUAUCUGCUUGUCACUGCAAUAGCAGCAACUCGCAGGGGACCGGGGUUCAAUUCCCCGUCGAGGAG
Molecule: transfer RNA, 89 nt
Rfam family: tRNA
About the family: Transfer RNA (tRNA) molecules are approximately 80 nucleotides in length.
Source: Rfam